GUGACGUGUGCCGAACGGCUUAGGCGCCUCCCUGUGAAGGAGGUUUUAGCGGGUUCAACUCCCGUACGUCACC
This 73-nucleotide transfer RNA is filed under the name Candidatus Gottesmanbacteria bacterium. RNAcentral describes it as "tRNA-His". It matches the Rfam family "tRNA". Rfam says of the family: Transfer RNA (tRNA) molecules are approximately 80 nucleotides in length. Their secondary structure includes four short double-helical elements and three loops (D, anti-codon, and T loops). The record is from RNAcentral. Lineage: Bacteria; Candidatus Gottesmaniibacteriota.